AGAGGCGGGAGAGAGCAAUGGGAGAGGGGGAGAGAGAGGACUCCAUCCCGGAAGGCCUGCACUCGGCCUUCUCUCAGAGCAGCAGAGAACUGGGGCCUCUGUGGAAUUGGAGUCCGUGCUGCUCACAUUGUCUGAAAUAGGCCCAGUGUUCCACCUUCCUCCUCUGCUCCACUGUCAUCUAAUGUCUGAAGGGAUCAACGAGGGCACAGGAACCAAAGUUCACUGACUGCUCAACGAGAGACUUCCCCAAAGUAGCUGGCUCUUUCCGGUGGGAUAAGGCAAAAGGAGGGAAAGGUUGCGUUGCCCUGUUGUUUGUUCUGCUUUUCCUUAGGUCCUUCUGCAGAAGAAUGUUCUCAUCAUGGAAGCCAUUUCAGGGCCCCAAAUUAGACAGUAAUAAAAAAUA
Molecule: long non-coding RNA, 403 nt
Organism: Talpa occidentalis (Iberian mole)
Lineage: Eukaryota; Metazoa; Chordata; Mammalia; Eulipotyphla; Talpidae
Exons: 3
Source: RefSeq, a predicted model, not a curated record